ACCAGCCCUGAGGGGCUCCGGGCUCCCCACCUCCUGGGUAGAAGAAAUGUAUCAAGCAAGACCCCUCUCUAGGAACCUCUUUUUGUACACCUUCCUACAAAACCAUGGCCCAGGCUUCCUGGACGACCAAGACUCAGGGCUUCCUGGUGUGACCAGUAUCUUGGAGUUCCACCCCAUCUCCCCCUACAGUGACAGUCCACACUACCUGGCCAUGCAGCUGGCCUCCAUUGCCGAUGAGAUGGAGCUGAGGUUGCUGCUGCCCCAGUUCGUUGAGCCCUUCUGGAUGACCAUGUACAGCUUGUUUUUCCCCUACAGCCACGUAGGGCUCAGGGAUGUUCUGAGAAGCUUUAUGGCUGCUUUCACCAACCUUAGGGAGAACCGAAGGCUCUGGAGCUUCCUGACUCUCAGGGACCGGGUGUCGCCCAGCCUGUGGCCCGAGCUGGCGCUGUCCCUGCUGGUGGUGGCGAUGCUCAGCUGGGGGUGCCGCCCCCACUGACCGAACUGCUGGUCAGUGUGGGGGUGGGGCUGGCCCCUCCCUCUCGACCACCACCCUGGCGGUGGCCCUGUUUUGGUGGUGUUGUCUUUUAACUGUUUUCUGAUGAUGCUUUUUUUUUUUUUUUUUAAUUUAAACUCUGAGUGCUGGGACACUGAGGUUCAUACUAUUUUUUUCCUUUUUUUUUUUUUUUGUAAGAGAAAUGAAUUUAUUAUACCUCUGGGGUCGUUACUGGUUAAUGACCUGCUCUCCCGGUGCCAGCCUGCUCUGCGGUGGCCUGUCCUGGGACGGAGCCUCCCUCUCAUGGGUUGGUCGAACAGGGGGCGGCGGGGGGAGUGCUGGUCACACCCCCGUGUCUGGGAUGCCCGUGGCACAGAGAAUCUGCUGGAAUAGAUUUCUGUGGGGCGAGGAGAGCUCAAUAAAAUGUUGGUUUCCA
Bos taurus (domestic cattle) is the source of this 929-nucleotide long non-coding RNA. The record is from Ensembl. Lineage: Eukaryota; Metazoa; Chordata; Mammalia; Artiodactyla; Bovidae.